RNAcentral lists this unclassified non-coding RNA (596 nucleotides) under Hevea brasiliensis (rubber tree). The record is from RNAcentral. Lineage: Eukaryota; Viridiplantae; Streptophyta; Magnoliopsida; Malpighiales; Euphorbiaceae.
GCCAAAUGUUUGUAGAAAAAUUGGCUCUGUUCAUACACUUGACUGCAACCACACAAUUGACUAAACCACAUCCAAAAAGAGUAGGUCAAUUUUGGUUGGCAUUUGGAAACCUAACUUCCACACAAAAUUGACUAUAUUGCACUCGGUUGCGUGCUUGCCUUGUAGUGUUGGAGGGUUCAAAUCUUUGCACUACCCCCAUCACCACUCGAAUGUUGCUUACAUUUUCCACUCCUUUUGGAUUUAUUUUCUUUGCUCAAUGACUUCAAAGAUAAUUUAUUGAAGGUUUGCCAUUAUUGCAGGCAUGGUGUUCACUAUGGAUAUGAUUGUGCGAAAAAGGGGAAAGGCUUGUGCUCUUGCUCCUUUCCUUUCAGUGCCUCUAGAUCUCAAUCUGUCAACAUUUUCUUUCAUUUUCUUUUCUUUCUUUCUUUUUGUUUUUCAUUUUUCUUUAAUUUUCAUAAUGUUAAGCCAAGAUUUUGGAUAUGCUCUCACUUGUAAGUUCAUCUCUCUUUCUCAAUCUGUCAACCUUGUUAUUUACAUCUAAUAAUGUUGUCCUUCACUUGCGAGUGAUUUAACUCUAAUUCCCUCAAACCCUUUGU